This 142-nucleotide non-coding RNA is filed under the name Capsicum annuum. Its description in RNAcentral is "Bacterial large subunit ribosomal RNA". It matches the Rfam family "Bacterial large subunit ribosomal RNA", at positions 712 to 852 of the family's 2925-position model. Lineage: Eukaryota; Viridiplantae; Streptophyta; Magnoliopsida; Solanales; Solanaceae. The record is from Rfam by way of RNAcentral.
GACCCAAAACUGAUCGAUCUAGCCAUGAGCAGGUUAAAUAGAGCUGUAACAGGCCUUGGAGGAUCGAACCCACGUAUGUGGCAAAAUACAGGGAUGACUUUUGGCUAGAGGUGAAAGGCCAACCAAGAUCGGAUAUAGUUGG